Small nuclear RNA from Fukomys damarensis (Damara mole-rat), 117 nucleotides. Its record names the gene U5. It matches the Rfam family "U5 spliceosomal RNA". Rfam says of the family: U5 RNA is a component of both types of known spliceosome. Lineage: Eukaryota; Metazoa; Chordata; Mammalia; Rodentia; Bathyergidae. The record is from Ensembl.
AUACUCUGGUUUCUCUUCAGAUCAAAUAAAUCUUUCGCCUUUUACUAAAGAUUUCCGUGGAGAGAAACUAAACUUGAGCUUUUAAGAAAUUUUUUGAGGUCCUGCUUUAGCAGUGCU